This 126-nucleotide small RNA is filed under the name Marmota monax (woodchuck). Lineage: Eukaryota; Metazoa; Chordata; Mammalia; Rodentia; Sciuridae. The record is from RNAcentral.
GCUGGGUGCGGUGGCCCACGCCUGUCAUCCCAGUGGUUUGGGAGGCUGAGGCAGGAGGAUCGUGAGAUCAAAGCCAGCCUCUGCAAGUUAGGGAGGCUCAAGCAAGUUAGCGAGAACCUGUCUCAA